AUCCCGACACACACGGGAGUUUUCCCCCACCUGGUUUUGCAGACUGAGUUGUCAUUGCCUGCUGCUGGGCUCGCCGUGUCGAGUCAUCGCUGAUCGAGCCGCUGCAACGUCUGGCGGACUGCGAUCGUGGAUUACAUCGGAUUUAUUGUGACACGGGACCCACGUAGACCCGGAGCGGAUGUGGGAAGAGUGAAAUGGAGGGGGGGGUCGGUCCUAGGACCGGAUUCGAGUUUGUUACAGAUGACGAAAUUGCUUAGUUUUAAGUGAGACGGUUUUCUGUCGUUGCCGCUGCAGACCAGGACACGGGAGUGAGAGAAGUGCCGGAGCUUCCACGACACCAGCGAGCCAACUUCGCUGCUCUUGCCCGGUGGGAGUGACUAAAACUGAACCAGACAGAGCUAGGUGAGAGAGGCCCAGAUUUGGCCAUUCCAGCCUUCUCUCUGGCCGUACCUGACCAGGCCAAGGACCUCAUCAGUGAGUCCUACCUUCGCCCAAAGGUUUCGGGUGGUGCCAUCGCCUUGCCAGAUCUCCAUUCCUUCCAUGUCGUCGUGGUCUGUCUCUGGAUGUCUGAAGCAGGAUGGACGCAGGUGUUGAUUUGACGAUUGUCAUCGUGUCGCAGCGCUACCCCUCCCCUUCAUCGGAUUGGUUCCUCUCAUUCCUCCCCUCCUCCUCAUCCUCCUCCCCAACUGUCUUUAAGAAAAAGCCCCUCCCUCAUUUCUGGGGCUCCUCUGCCCCUGAGCGCUGCAAAGAAGGGCCCUAUAGAGACUGUAGUGUUGUGUUAUUGAAUCGAUAUACCUUGUAAAGAGGGAGGAGGUUCUGAUAAAUCCUCGCUAACGAACUCCAGAGUGAGAAGAAGUCAAAGGGGAUUAGUUAAUUCACUCAGUUUGACAUACCCAGAUGUUUUAUUUUUCUCCCCAUCCAUUU
This is a long non-coding RNA of Lampris incognitus (smalleye Pacific opah), 924 nucleotides long. RefSeq lists it as uncharacterized. The record is from RefSeq and is a predicted model, not a curated record. The transcript has 3 exons. NCBI's taxonomy places the organism in Eukaryota, Metazoa, Chordata, Actinopteri, Lampriformes, Lampridae.